CUGACUCAUAACCAGAUGGGCUCUUGCUCCUUCCUCCUGAAUUAAACAUAACCAUCCCAGGAAGGGGCCGAGCAGGGCCAAACAGGGGCGGUGCCCACUAGGGGAGAGCUGGCCACGGGGAGCCAUCCCAAGGGCCACAGGCAGGCUGGGCUUCCCGGACUCCUCAGACUCCCUCUCCCCAGGGAGUGACGGGGAGGGACCAGUGCUGUUCUGCCCCCACCCGUGGAGUCAGCCUGCCUCCAAGGAAACCCGAGGAGGGGGCAGAGGCGUCCCUAUGGCAGUAACAAAUGUCCUGAAGGACCCAAAUAGAGGCUGAGAUCUAGAGUGACGGGCUAGGGCAGGUGGUAACCAAGCCAGGAAUGGGACGAGAUGCCAGAACCAGCAGGAGAUCUGUUCAAGUCCUAACCCCUUGGUUCCUGUAAAUGUGACCUUAUUUGGAAAAAGGUCUUUGCAGAUGCAAGUGAAGGAUCUUGAGCUGACAUCAUCCUGGCUUUAGGGUGAGCCUUAAAUCCAAUGAUCGGCGUCCAUAUAAGAAGUGGGAAGACAGAGAGGGAAAGCCAUGUGAAGGUGGAGGCAGGACAAGCCAAGGAAUGCCAGGAGCUGCCAGGAGCCACCAGGAGCAGGAAGAAGUGGGGAGGAUCCUGCCCCAGAGCCUUUGGCGGCAGCGGCCCUGCCGGCACCUGGACAUUUGGCCUCCAGAACUGGAAGAAUAAAUUUCUGUUGUUUGAAGACACCCUGUUGGUGGUCAUUUGUUACAAGAGCUUUGAAAACAAAUAUACCACAAUAGCCCUUCCACGAUCCUGCAAGCCUGCAAGCAGGUGACAGAAACGUAGGUCUCCUUGGCACCCCCAUCCCAUGGAGCUUGGCCAGCCACGGGGGCAGCAUGUGGGAGGAGGCAAGGCAAACAUAUUCUAAAGGUGGCGCUCACCCUGGCUGGGCUGGAGGCUGAUGAAGCUUCAGCCUGUGCUCCUGAGACAGCGGAGGCUCUCCCGGGCCCAGAGACCUGCAGACCUCAAGGGGAAGCAAUCUCAGCGAAAGUGCUGCCUGCGGUCCGCGGUCAGGCAAGGAGGAAGUGGUGAGCGCGGCAGGAGCUCAAGGCCGGGACAUGGGGGUGUGCCCAGCGAAGCGAACAGCAAAGGUGAAUUUGCCGGGAUGCUGAUAAAGCUUACGUUUCUGCGCCCCCUCUAAAGCCCUGUACCUGCUUUUGUAGUUUUUUCUGGAAGGGGAUGCCCCUCAGUUGUAUCAGCAUCGGAUCCCACAAACCCUGGAUCCCUCCCUGCUAACACCAGGGCCACAAGAGCACAUCGCGCAUGCAGAGCCAAUUGUGUUGAUGUUUUCUCAGGUUUUCUGUUGUCUGACCAUCCAGCCAACCAGUUUUUUUAUGCAGUCGUUCAUCCAGCCCUCUACACAGCCAACCAAUCUCCAUGAUUGAGUCUCUGCCACGGGACAUACUCCCUGCUCUCAAGAGACUCAUGCUUCGAGGCGGGGGAAAGGGGGCAUAAAUAAGAAGCAAUUAAACUGGCUCUGCCAUGAGGAGUGGGGGCAAGAGGUGAGCUGAAGGGAAGAACAGUGGAGGGAAUGAUUGCCUCAAUCUGGAGGUCAGAACCGCCCUACCACGGAGAUGACCUGAGUUUUGAAGGAUGCGUAGAAGUCACCAUCAGACAAGAGGGAGGGCAGCUCAGGCAGGGGAACAGCAGGGGCAAAGGUGUGGGACAGCACUGGGCACUUGGGGACUCACUGUGACUCAGCCUGUGACUCAGCCCUCCUGUGGCACCAGGGCUGCUGGAUGGAAAGGGAAGAGCAGGGAAGGCCAGAGCCAGGCAGUGGGGAGCGAGGGCAGGAGGGGAGAUGGGAAAGAGGGCCUCACGGAGUGUGCUGGUUUCCUGUGGCUGCCGUAACAAAGCACCAUACACAUGCGGGCUGAAAACAGCAGAAAUGUAUUGUUUUAGAGUUCUGGAGACUGAAGCCUGAAAUCAAGGUGUUGCAGGGCCAGGCUCUAAGGGCAGAACCUUCCUGCCUCUUCCAGCUUCUGGUUUCAAUCUUCAGCGUUCCUUGGCUUUCAGCUGCCCCACUCCAAUCUCUGCCUCCAGUGUGGUGUUCCUGUGGGUCUCUCGUACCUCUUCUUAUAAAGACACUCAGAUAAGUUUAGGCCCCCCAAUUGAGCCUAACGCGAUUGCAUCUACAAAGACCCUAUUUCCAAAUAAGGUCCUAUUCACGGUUACUGGGAGCUGGAGCUUCAACAGAUCUUUUGGGAAGACACAAUUCAACUCACGACAGGGAGGAAGAAUUGCGAGUACUUGCUACUGCUGUGAUGCCGUGGAGUGAGCAGAAAGGUUUUCUUCUCACUCCCCAUCCCAACAAAUAAUGCCACCAGGAGACAAGAAUGAACAAGACAAGAUUCCCACCUUCAAGGAAUCAUGGAUCCAGCACUGGUGGCAGGGCACAUACCCAGAAAUAUAGAGGACAUGUGAGAUUGCAGGGGCAGGACAGUGUCUGGCCUGGGCUGUGCCCUUCAGCUUCCAAGACAAAGUGCCCGUGAGGCAGAUGAAGUCCACGUGCAGGUUGCUCAGGGACCGCCUCCACUCCACGGGUGCUCAGAUCAAGGCCGCAGAUGGCUGAUUUACUCGAACAGCCUGCUGGGCUUUGCAAUCUGGCUUCCCCAACAUUGUGCUCGGUUCUAGAAACUGCAGCCCACAGACAGCAAGGUCACUUGGCUCAUGGAUGCGCUGCCCCAGCUGGACCUUGUAUCCCCGGGCCGUGGGCUGCGAGACAGGGAGAGGGUCGGCGGCUCAGGGCAGCGAGCCUUGGUGGUGGCGUCACCACAGAGACACUGGGGGACACCUGGGGCAGCAGCGGUGACCUGCAGAAGGGACAGAAUGGCUCCCGGGCAAUCCUCGGCCCCACCACACCAGACUCACAGGUGCUUGGCUGUCUCAUGAUGUGAGCAGCUUGCCCUGGCUUUGAGGGGAAUCUGAAGAGCCUGACCCUGGAGCUUUCUUUUGAACCUCCCGGGUUCAAGCGAUUCUCCUGCCUCCACCUCCCAAGUAGCUGGGAUUACAAGUGCACACCACCACGCCCA
Molecule: long non-coding RNA, 3079 nt
Filed under: Homo sapiens (human)
Lineage: Eukaryota; Metazoa; Chordata; Mammalia; Primates; Hominidae
Description: HSALNT0144927
Source: RNAcentral